This 436-nucleotide ribosomal RNA is filed under the name uncultured bacterium. Its description in RNAcentral is "partial 16S ribosomal RNA". It matches the Rfam family "Bacterial small subunit ribosomal RNA", at positions 30 to 506 of the family's 1533-position model. The record is from RNAcentral.
AGCGAACGCUGGCGGCAGGCUUAACACAUGCAAGUCGAGCGGGCAUCCUUGUGGUGUCAGCGGCAGACGGGUGAGUAACGCGUGGGAACGUGCCCUUCGGUUCGGAAUAACUCAGGGAAACUUGAGCUAAUACCGGAUACGUGCGAGAGCAGAAAGGUUUAUCUGCCGAAGGAUCGGCCCGCGUCUGAUUAGCUAGUUGGUGAGGUUAUGGCUCACCAAGGCGACGAUCAGUAGCUGGUCUGAGAGGAUGAUCAGCCACACUGGGACUGAGACACGGCCCGAACACCGAGGGGGGGCAGCAGGGGGGAAAAAUGGACAUGGGGGGCACCCCCUAGCCGCCCCGGCCGGGUGGGAGGUGACGGCGUUAGGGUUGAAAGCGUUUUUUUCCGGGGAGGAAAAGGGCGGAACCGGAGAAAAAAGCCCCGGCAACCUCCGG